UUUAAUUCGACGCAACGCGAAGAACCUUACCUGGGCUUGACAUCCGAUCGUACCUGCUGGAACAGCGGGUCAGUUCGGCUGGAUCGGAGACAGGUGCUGCAUGGCUGUCGUCAGCUCGUGUCGUGAGAUGUUGGGUUAAGUCCCGCAACGAGCGCAACCCUUGUCCUUAGUUGCCAUCAUUUAGUUGGGCACUCUAAGGAGACUGCCGGUGUUAAACCGGAGGAAGUGGGGAUGACGUCAAGUCCUCAUGGCCCUUAUGUCCAGGGCUACACACGUGCUACAAUGGCCGGUACAAAGGGCAGCAAAGCCGCGAGGUGGAGCCAAUCCCAGAAAGCCGGUCUCAGUUCGGAUUGGAGUCUGCAACUCGACUCCAUGAAGUUGGAAUCGCUAGUAAUCGCGGAUCAGCAUGCCCGCGGUCGAAUACGUUCCGGGCCUU
Molecule: ribosomal RNA, 436 nt
Filed under: uncultured Desulfuromonas sp.
Lineage: Bacteria; Pseudomonadati; Thermodesulfobacteriota; Desulfuromonadia; Desulfuromonadales; Desulfuromonadaceae
Description: bacterial SSU rRNA
Rfam family: Bacterial small subunit ribosomal RNA
Source: RNAcentral